UUAAAUUUAUUUAACAACAUAACACAUAAUCAAAAUAUAUAUCCUGUUAAUGUGCAAAACAGGACAUCACAAAUGCCUAGAAUAAAUUAUUGUCUUUCUUCAUCAAUUUAUACACAUACAGGUACAUCUUGCAGCCACACAUAGCAUUCACAAAUAAUAUUUCAUACUGUAACGACCUAAUAUGGGUCAAAUAAAUCAACAGAAAAUUUAUUUACAUGAAUUUUUAUCAACAUAAGGAUAAACCUUCAUACCAUUGUAUGAUAUUUAACCGUUAAACUAGGUUUUUAACCAGUUAUGCUACUUGAAAUCGCCAAACUAUGUAUAAUUCAUUAUGCAUAAUUAUUUCAUAACAUAAACUCUUUUUCUAUUAAACAAAACUUUUGAAGCUUUUAAAUUAAUACUGCUUUUUAAAGUUUUUCUUUUCAUAACAUUUUGCCAACAGUACAAAUAUAUUACAGUGCUGUCAGAUAAUGGUAACAGUUUACUUUAAAUAUUUGUAUUUGAUAUCCGCUUUAAUACUGCCGCCUUAUACUUCCUUUGUAGCAAUUGUGUUAUGUUUGAUGUCAAACACUACGAUUUUCAUAUCUUAUUCAAUAUUAUGAACCUAUUCCAAUAAAAAAAAACACUAGUAACAUACUUCUUCAAUUUUUCAAUUACUUCUUAUUCAGUGCUCAAUAUUUCCAAAUUCUUAAACAGUAAUUAUACCACCAAUUAC
Molecule: long non-coding RNA, 715 nt
Filed under: Mytilus galloprovincialis (Mediterranean mussel)
Lineage: Eukaryota; Metazoa; Mollusca; Bivalvia; Mytilida; Mytilidae
Source: RNAcentral